UCUGUGCAGGAUAGUGUCACCCUGCAAAGAUGAUACUCUAUUUACCUGGCCACUCUUCUGCCACUUCCCAGGGGUUGGAAAUGAUAAGACACUGACUAUUAUUUUUUUUUAGCCUUUUUCUUAUGAUCUGUUCCGGAUUUGCUGUCACUACAGUGGACCAAGUAUCUCACCUCAACAAUGUCUGCACAAGAAGCUGAGCUAUAGGCUCCCAUCACAGCAUGCAAGAUCUCUGAAGGAAGACUGAACUCAGAGAAAGCAUGUGGCAACUCUCUGGCUGACUAAGUUGUUCAAUAAGUUGUAAGUGCACUAAGGGAAGUGGACAGAAAAGUGUCUGCUGAAGAAACUCCCAUAUUCACCAUGUAAGAUCCUACCCACAGACAUCAAGCUCCCGAAGGAAUAACAAGCAAGCUACUGACCCUGGAAAGAAAGAAAAAACAAACAAACCACAAGCUGGAAACAGAAAGGGGCAACUCUUAAAGACAGACUGUACUUCAACAAUCUCAAGUUCUACU
Pelobates cultripes (western spadefoot toad) is the source of this 512-nucleotide non-coding RNA. The record is from the annotation of a GenBank genome assembly. Lineage: Eukaryota; Metazoa; Chordata; Amphibia; Anura; Pelobatidae.